This 313-nucleotide unclassified non-coding RNA is filed under the name plant metagenome. RNAcentral describes it as "partial contains small subunit ribosomal RNA, internal transcribed spacer 1, and 5.8S ribosomal RNA". The record is from RNAcentral.
UUUCCGUAGGUGAACCUGCGGAAGGAUCAUUAUUGAAUGAACUUGGUAGUGGUUUUAGCUGGCUCUCUCGAGAGCAUGUUCACGCCCGCCAUCUUUAUCUUUCCACCUGUGCACUUCUUGUCGACUUUGGGAUUUGUAAACUUUUCCGGGGCAACUCGGUCGGUCGGAGCUGCUGUAGCAAUACGGCUCUCCUUGACAAGUCUUCAAAGUCUAUGUUUUUCAUAUACCCCAUAGUAUGUAACAGAAGGAAUACAAAUGUGCCUUAGUGCUUAUAAACCCUAUACAACUUUCAACAACGGAUCUCUUGGCUCUC